This 148-nucleotide non-coding RNA is filed under the name Cercocebus atys (sooty mangabey). Lineage: Eukaryota; Metazoa; Chordata; Mammalia; Primates; Cercopithecidae. The record is from Rfam by way of RNAcentral. RNAcentral also lists the same sequence under 1 other name.
GCUAGGUGUGGUGGUGCGCACCUGUAAUCCCAGCUACCUGGGAGGCUGAGGCAGAAGAAUCACUUGAACCCAAGAGGCAGAGGCUGCAGUGAGCCAAGAUCAUGCCACUGCACUCCAGCCUGGGCAACAGAGUGAGACUCUGUCUCAA